GACGUAGGGCGCGAGCGUUGUCCGGAUUUAUUGGGCGUAAAGAGCUCGUAGGCGGUCUGUCGCGUCGGUCGUGAAAACUUGGGGCUUAACCCUGAGCUUGCGGUCGAUACGGGCAUGACUGGAGUUCGGCAGGGGAGACUGGAAUUCCUGGUGUAGCGGUGAAAUGCGCAGAUAUCAGGAGGAACACCGGUGGCGAAGGCGGGUCUCUGGGCCGAUACUGACGCUGAGGAGCGAAAGCGUGGGGAGCGAACAGG
Molecule: ribosomal RNA, 254 nt
Filed under: uncultured bacterium
Lineage: Bacteria
Description: partial 16S ribosomal RNA
Rfam family: Bacterial small subunit ribosomal RNA
Source: RNAcentral